This 484-nucleotide ribosomal RNA is filed under the name uncultured bacterium. RNAcentral describes it as "partial 16S ribosomal RNA". It matches the Rfam family "Bacterial small subunit ribosomal RNA", at positions 30 to 507 of the family's 1533-position model. The record is from RNAcentral.
AUUGAACGCUGGCGGCAGGCCUAACACAUGCAAGUCGAGCGGAUGAAGGGAGCUUGCUCCUGGAUUCAGCGGCGGACGGGUGAGUAAUGCCUAGGAAUCUGCCUGGUAGUGGGGGAUAACGUCCGGAAACGGGCGCUAAUACCGCAUACGUCCUGAGGGAGAAAGUGGGGGAUCUUCGGACCUCACGCUAUCAGAUGAGCCUAGGUCGGAUUAGCUAGUUGGUGGGGUAAAGGCCUACCAAGGCGACGAUCCGUAACUGGUCUGAGAGGAUGAUCAGUCACACUGGAACUGAGACACGGUCCAGACUCCUACGGGAGGCAGCAGUGGGGAAUAUUGGACAAAGGGCGAAAGCCUGAUCCAGCCAUGCCGCGUGUGUGAAGAAGGUCUUCGGAUUGUUAAGCACUUUAAGUUGGGAGGAAGGGCAGUAAGUUAAUACCUUGCUGUUUUGACGUUACCAACAGAAUAAGCACCGGCUAACUUCGUG